RNAcentral lists this long non-coding RNA (333 nucleotides) under Lathyrus oleraceus (garden pea). RNAcentral's name for it is "Pisum sativum (pea) long non-coding RNA (PSAT_LNC026991)". Lineage: Eukaryota; Viridiplantae; Streptophyta; Magnoliopsida; Fabales; Fabaceae. The record is from RNAcentral.
UUUCCUUGAAAAAAUGGGUUAUUUUUGUAAAAUUUUCCCAAGACAUUGGUUAUUUCAUUUUUUUUUGAAAUUGAAAUAAGAAUUGGGGGGUUUUCAGAAAGAGGAAGAGCAGAGAAACUUUGUUUUUUUCAUUUUUGUUCUCUUCUUCUUCAAGAAUCUUUUUACCCUCUACAACUUGCAUCAUCACCUCCACCUCCCUACCCAUGUGUAAACCUCUGUCCUAAACGCCAUAACCCAAAUCUCCGCCUCACAUCGCCUUUACCUCUUCAUAAAAACCACCACCGAACCUCAUGAAACACAACUCAAAACCUUCAUGAACAAAACUCUAUCACC